This 600-nucleotide ribosomal RNA is filed under the name uncultured bacterium. RNAcentral's name for it is "bacterial SSU rRNA". It matches the Rfam family "Bacterial small subunit ribosomal RNA", at positions 108 to 711 of the family's 1533-position model. The record is from RNAcentral.
GCGGAACACGUGUGCAACCUGCCUUUAUCAGGGGGGAUAGCCUUUCGAAAGGAAGAUUAAUACCCCAUAAUAUGUUGAAUGGCAUCAUUCGACAUUGAAAACUCCGGUGGAUAGAGAUGGGCACGCGCGAGAUUAGAUAGUUGGUGAGGUAACGGCUCACCAAGUCUACGAUCUUUAGGGGCCUGAAGGGUGAUCCCCCACACUGGUACUGAACACGGACCAACUCCUACGGGAGGCAGCAGUGAGGAAUAUUGGACAAUGGGUGAGAGCCUGAUCCAGCCAUCCCGCGUGAAGGACGACUGCCUUAUGGGUUGUAAACUUCUUUUGUAUAGGGAUAAACCUACCCUCGUGAGGGUAGCUGAAGGUACUAUACGAAUAAGCACCGGCUAACUCCGUGCCAGCAGCCGCGGUAAUACGGAGGGUGCAAGCGUUAUCCGGAUUUAUUGGGUUUAAAGGGUCCGUAGCGGAUCUGUAAGUCAGUGGUGAAAUCUCGCAGCUUAACUGUGAAACUGCCAUUGAUACUGCAGGUCUUGAGUGUUGUUGAAGUAGCUGGAAUAAGUAGUGUAGCGGUGAAAUGCAUAGAUUUUACUUAGAACACCA